CCUACGGAUGACAGCAGUGGGGAAUAUUGGGCAAUGGACGCAAGUCUGACCCAGCAACGCCGCGUGACGGAAGAAGGCUUUCGGGUUGUAAACUUCUUUUAAGGGGGAAGAGCAGAAGACGGUACCCCUUGAAUAAGCCACGGCUAACUACGUGCCAGCAGCCGCGUGAAUACGUAGGUGGCAAGCGUUGUCCGGAUUUACUGGGUGUACAGGGCGUGAAGCGUGGAAGACAAGUCAGAUGUGAAAUCCAGCGGCUCAACCGCGGAACUGCAUUUGAAACUGUUUUUCUUGAGUAUCGGAGAGGUAAUCGGAAUUCCUAGUGUAGCGGGGAAAUGCGUAGAUAUUAGGAAGAACACCAGUGGCGAAGGCGGAUUACUGGACGACAACUGACGGUGAGGCGCGAAAGCGUGGGGAGCAAACAGGAUUAGAUACCCUAGUAGUC
Molecule: ribosomal RNA, 442 nt
Filed under: uncultured bacterium
Lineage: Bacteria
Description: partial 16S ribosomal RNA
Rfam family: Bacterial small subunit ribosomal RNA
Source: RNAcentral